This 372-nucleotide ribosomal RNA is filed under the name Triticum aestivum (bread wheat). Its description in RNAcentral is "partial small subunit ribosomal RNA". The record is from RNAcentral. Lineage: Eukaryota; Viridiplantae; Streptophyta; Magnoliopsida; Poales; Poaceae.
AACCAUCGAAUCAAAGCCGGAUGGAUGAAGUGGCGCCAAGCUUCUGGCAUUCUCUGUGACAAGAGAGUGCCACAAAAGCUAAAAGGCAAGUUCUACAAGACGGCAGUUCGACCCGCAAUGUUGUAUGGCGCUGAGUGUUGGCCGACUAAAAGGCGACAUGUUCAACAGCUAGGUGUGGCGGAGAUGCGUAUGUUGAGAUGGAUGUGUGGCCACACGAGGAAGGAUCGAGUCCGGAAUGAUGAUAUACGAGAUAGAGUUGGGGUAGCACCAAUUGAAGAGAAGCUUGUCCAACAUCGUCUGAGAUGGUUUGGGCAUAUUCAGCGCAGGCCUCCAGAAGCUCCGGUGCAUAGUGGACGGCUAAAGCGUGCGGAU